RNAcentral lists this ribosomal RNA (400 nucleotides) under uncultured bacterium. RNAcentral's name for it is "bacterial SSU rRNA". It matches the Rfam family "Bacterial small subunit ribosomal RNA", at positions 355 to 752 of the family's 1533-position model. The record is from RNAcentral.
UAAGGAAUAUUGGACAAUGCCCGCAAGGGUGAUCCAGCCAUGCCGCGUGCAGGAAGACGGCCCUAUGGGUUGUAAACUGCUUUUGUACCGGAGAAAACCUCCCCUCGUGAGGGGAGCUGAUAGUAUGGUAAGAAUAAGCAUCGGCUAACUUCGUGCCAGCAGCCGCGGUAAGACGAAGGAUGCAAGCGUUAUCCGGAUUCAUUGGGUUUAAAGGGAGCGUAGGUGGUCUUAUAAGUCAGUGGUGAAAUCUCGCAGCUUAACUGCGAAAUUGCCAUUGAUACUGUAGGACUUGAGUACAGUUGCCGUUGGCGGAAUAUGACAUGUAGUGGUGAAAUACAUAGAGAUGUCAUAGAACACCGAUUGCGAAGGCAGCUAACGAAACUGUAACUGACACUGAGGC